AUCGAUUUGAUUCCUUUCCCUAACAUACACUAUGUCAUUUGGAGAUAUAACAAAAGAAUGAGAGUUCGACGAUGGAUCAGGCAAAAGAUGAUAAUCAGAAGGUUGUAAUCGCGAGUAAUUGGCGAGCCCAAUGGCAUCACCACAAAGCUCUUUGAAAGAAGAGUCUAUUAAACGGAGUUCAGGACGACAACCUUCAAUUCUUUGCGAGGGAAUAGCAGAAGUAAAAUCUU
Schizosaccharomyces pombe (fission yeast) is the source of this 230-nucleotide non-coding RNA. The record is from the annotation of a GenBank genome assembly. NCBI's taxonomy places the organism in Eukaryota, Fungi, Ascomycota, Schizosaccharomycetes, Schizosaccharomycetales, Schizosaccharomycetaceae.